CUUUCUUCAACAAAGAUGGCUGACAAAACAUUACAGGGAAGCAAAUGACAUUUCUAAGUGACCCCAAACUUAUGAACGAUGGGAGAGAAAGAGGGAGGAUGCUGCACCUUGGCGGAGAAAGGGAGGAGGAGGACGAGGAGGAGGAAUUAAUUUUUCCCCUUCGGGAAGAAACACAUGCUGAAUCUCAAGAGUUAGCAGUGAAUCUACCUAUCUUACUCUGAUUGGCAUUAAG
Oncorhynchus masou masou (cherry salmon) is the source of this 232-nucleotide long non-coding RNA. RefSeq lists it as uncharacterized. The transcript has 3 exons. The record is from RefSeq and is a predicted model, not a curated record. Lineage: Eukaryota; Metazoa; Chordata; Actinopteri; Salmoniformes; Salmonidae.